UGUGAGAGUGGGGUGACCGUGACAUCCCGGACGAGCCCCCAAGAUGAAAGACCCCCGACUCAAAUAGCCGGUGACCCUUCAGUCCAAGGAGAGUCACGGCAACCCCAAUCGACCACAAGAG
Molecule: microRNA precursor, 121 nt
Organism: Tupaia belangeri (northern tree shrew)
Lineage: Eukaryota; Metazoa; Chordata; Mammalia; Scandentia; Tupaiidae
Source: Ensembl